AGCGGGAUUGGGGAGUCUGGAGUUCCCGCCGGGCUCAUAACCCGGAGGUCGGUGGUUCAAAUCCACCUCCCGCUA
This 75-nucleotide transfer RNA is filed under the name Microcaldota archaeon. RNAcentral describes it as "Micrarchaeota archaeon tRNA". It matches the Rfam family "tRNA". From Rfam's summary of the family: Transfer RNA (tRNA) molecules are approximately 80 nucleotides in length. Lineage: Archaea; Nanobdellati; Microcaldota. RNAcentral also lists the same sequence under 1 other name. The record is from Rfam by way of RNAcentral.